Molecule: ribosomal RNA, 501 nt
Filed under: uncultured bacterium
Lineage: Bacteria
Description: partial 16S ribosomal RNA
Rfam family: Bacterial small subunit ribosomal RNA
Source: RNAcentral
AUUGAACGCUGGCGGCAGGCUUAACACAUGCAAGUCGAGCGGGGGAAGGUAGCUUGCUACCGGACCUAGCGGCGGACGGGUGAGUAAUGCUUAGGAAUCUGCCUAUUAGUGGGGGACAACAUCUCGAAAGGGAUGCUAAUACCGCAUACGUCCUACGGGAGAAAGCAGGGGAUCUUCGGACCUUGCGCUAAUAGAUGAGCCUAAGUCGGAUUAGCUAGUUGGUGGGGUAAAGGCCUACCAAGGCGACGAGCUGUAGCGGGUCUGAGAGGAUGAUCCGCCACACUGGGACUGAGACACGGCCCAGACUCCUACGGGAGGCAGCAGUGGGGAAUAGUGGACAAUGGGGGGAACCCUGAUCCAGCCAUGCCGCGUGUGUGAAGAAGGCCUUAUGGUUGUAAAGCACUUUAAGCGAGGAGGAGGCUACUUUAGUUAAUACCUAGAGAUAGUGGACGUUACUCGCAGAAUAAGCACCGGCUAACUCUGUGCCAGCCGCCGCAGUAA